RNAcentral lists this ribosomal RNA (380 nucleotides) under uncultured cyanobacterium. RNAcentral describes it as "bacterial SSU rRNA". It matches the Rfam family "Bacterial small subunit ribosomal RNA", at positions 376 to 770 of the family's 1533-position model. The record is from RNAcentral. Lineage: Bacteria; Bacillati; Cyanobacteriota.
CGAAAGCCUGACGGAGCAAGACCGCGUGGGGGAGGAAGGCUCUAGGGUUGUAAACCCCUUUUCUUUGGGAAGAACAAAAUGACGGUACCAAAGGAAUCAGCCUCGGCUAACUCCGUGCCAGCAGCCGCGGUAAUACGGAGGAGGCAAGCGUUAUCCGGAAUUAUUGGGCGUAAAGCGUCCGCAGGUGGCGAUUCAAGUCUGCUGUCAAAGCACGGGGCUUAACUCCGUAAAGGCAGUGGAAACUACAUAGCUAGAGUUCGGUAGGGGCAAAGGGAAUUCCCGGUGUAGCGGUGAAAUGCGUAGAGAUCGGGAAGAACAUCGGUGGCGAAAGCGCUUUGCUAGACCGAAACUGACACUCAGGGACGAAAGCUAGGGGAGCG